Long non-coding RNA from Gopherus flavomarginatus (Mexican gopher tortoise), 191 nucleotides. RefSeq lists it as uncharacterized. The record is from RefSeq and is a predicted model, not a curated record. The transcript has 3 exons. NCBI's taxonomy places the organism in Eukaryota, Metazoa, Chordata, Testudines, Testudinidae.
UUCAGUUUUGUGUGAUUAGAAAGUUGGCAACCCUAUCAGAGCACUUUUUAACUGUAGUCUUCACAGCAUUUAGCAUGAUCAUAAGCUUUUCAGGGAUGGGACUGUCUCCUACUAUGUGUUUGUAAAGCUCCUAGAACAAUGGUGCAUCUAGGCACUGCCAUCAUAUAACUCAUGAACAAUCAUCUCGGAUU